AGUCUGUCUCUCUCUCUCACACACACACACACACGCACAUGCAUACACACACGCACACACCCACAUGCAAACGCACACACAGGAUGAUGACUGUGCUGUCCAGAACCUCUUUCCCUGGAGCUCCUGGGCAGCUGGGACAUUUUACUUGUUAAGGUCCGUUCACUCGACCUCAUCCAGCCUUAUGGCGAAUGGUUUUUGGACUCAGUGUGCUCUACUUCCUGUUCCUGGUAUUCCUACUCUUCCUGAAUUUCGAGCAGGUUAAAUCUCUAAUGUAUUGGCUAGAUCCAAAUCUUCGAUACGCCACAAGGGAAGCAGAUGUCAUGGAGUAUGCUGUGAACUGCCAUGUGAUCACCUGGGAGAGGAUUAUCAGCCACUUUGAUAUUUUUGCAUUUGGACAUUUCUGGGGCUGGGCCAUGAAGGCCUUGCUGAUCCGUAGUUACGGUCUCUGCUGGACAAUCAGUAUUACCUGGGAGCUGACUGAGCUCUUCUUCAUGCAUCUCCUCCCCAAUUUUGCCGAGUGCUGGUGGGAUCAAGUCAUUCUGGAUAUCCUGUUGUGCAAUGGCGGUGGCAUUUGGCUGGGCAUGGUCGUUUGCCGGUUUUUAGAGAUGAGGACUUACCACUGGGCAAGCUUCAAGGACAUUCAUACCACCACUGGGAAGAUCAAGAGAGCUGUACUGCAGUUCACUCCUGCUAGCUGGACCUACGUUCGAUGGUUUGACCCCAAAUCUUCUUUUCAGAGAGUAGCUGGAGUG
This 752-nucleotide small RNA is filed under the name Pongo abelii (Sumatran orangutan). RNAcentral's name for it is "processed transcript". The record is from RNAcentral. Lineage: Eukaryota; Metazoa; Chordata; Mammalia; Primates; Hominidae.